This 468-nucleotide ribosomal RNA is filed under the name uncultured bacterium. Its description in RNAcentral is "partial 16S ribosomal RNA". It matches the Rfam family "Bacterial small subunit ribosomal RNA", at positions 28 to 507 of the family's 1533-position model. The record is from RNAcentral.
GACGAACGCUGGCGGCGUGCUUAACACAUGCCAGUCGAACGGAAAGGCCCUGCUUUUGGGGGGUGCUCGAGUGGCGAACGGGUGAGUAACACGUGAGUAACCUGCCCUUGACUUUGGGAUAACUUCAGGAAACUGGGGCUAAUACCGGAUAGGAGCUCCUGCUGCAUGGUGGGGGUUGGAAAGUUUCGGCGGUUGGGGAUGGACUCGCGGCUUAUCAGCUUGUUGGUGGGGUAGUGGCUUACCAAGGCUUUGACGGGUAGCCGGCCUGAGAGGGUGACCGGCCACAUUGGGACUGAGAUACGGCCCAGACUCCUACGGGAGGCAGCAGUGGGGAAUAUUGCACAAUGGGCGGAAGCCUGAUGCAGCAACGCCGCGUGCGGGAUGACGGCCUUCGGGUUGUAAACCGCUUUCGCCUGUGACGAAGCGUGAGUGGCGGUAAUGGGUAAAGAAGCACCGGCUAACUACGUG